This 312-nucleotide ribosomal RNA is filed under the name uncultured Methanomicrobiales archaeon. RNAcentral describes it as "bacterial SSU rRNA". It matches the Rfam family "Archaeal small subunit ribosomal RNA", at positions 1028 to 1338 of the family's 1478-position model. The record is from RNAcentral. Lineage: Archaea; Methanobacteriati; Methanobacteriota; Methanomicrobia; Methanomicrobiales.
GUUAAGUCAGGCAACGAGCGAGACCCACGCCAACAGUUGCCAGCUCGUCCUCCGGGAUGGUGGGGACACUGUUGGGACCGCCUCUGCUAAAGAGGAGGAAGGAAUGGGCAACGGUAGGUCAGCAUGCCCCGAAUUAUCUGGGCUACACGCGGGCUACAAUGGGUGGGACAAUGGGUAUCGACACCGAAAGGUGAAGGGCAAUCUCCUAAACCCAUCCGUAGUUCGGAUUGUGGGCUGCAACUCGCCCACAUGAAGCUGGAAUCUGUAGUAAUCGUGUCUCAAAAUGGCACGGUGAAUAUGUCCCUGCUCCUU